CACGUGCAUACGUCUUUAUACAAGCUAAAGAACACUUUAACAAAAGACCAUUGUUAUGCAAACUAUAUAAAGAUUUUUAUAUAAAGAUUUUUAUAUAAAGAUUUUGAUAUAAAGAUUUUUAUAUAAAGAUUUGACUUAUUAUGCAAAUGUUUUUGAAGUCAUUUAAAAAACUCGCAGGUCGUGUUUUAUUAGGUCUAAAGCCACUCGCGCUGCGCGCUCGUGGCUUUAAACCUAAUAAAACACUCCUGCUCGUUUUUUAAAUAGUACAUAAAAUAUU
Molecule: long non-coding RNA, 277 nt
Filed under: Paramuricea clavata
Lineage: Eukaryota; Metazoa; Cnidaria; Anthozoa; Malacalcyonacea; Plexauridae
Source: RNAcentral